RNAcentral lists this long non-coding RNA (218 nucleotides) under Elaeis guineensis (African oil palm). RNAcentral's name for it is "long non-coding RNA (EGUI_LNC066697)". The record is from RNAcentral. Lineage: Eukaryota; Viridiplantae; Streptophyta; Magnoliopsida; Arecales; Arecaceae.
CCGGACGAUGUCUACCUGUAAGUGAAGUCGUGGGUGGAGUCUGGCUCCCGUAGGAGUCCGGGCGGAGUCUAGAAGAUGGCCGAUCAUCAUAGAAAUUUGGGUGGAGUCCGUCCGUCACGAAGAAUCCGGUUGACGCUGGUGGGGGCUUAUCCACCAGUAAAACUUGGGAGUGUUGUGGAGGCUCGGCCACCUGGGAGGUUUGAAGAGACGUUGUUGGA